GCAACCUGCCCGCCACAGGGGGAUAAGCGGAAGAAAUUCCGUCUAAUACCGCGUGACGCGGCGCCGGGGCAUCCCGGUGCCGCCAAAGGGAUUACCGGUGGCGGAUGGGCAUGCGGCGCAUUAGCUAGUCGGCGGGGUAACGGCCCACCGAGGCGACGAUGCGUAGGGGUUCUGAGAGGAAGGUCCCCCACACUGGUACUGAGACACGGACCAGACUCCUACGGGAGGCAGCAGUGAGGAAUAUUGGUCAAUGGGCGCGAGCCUGAACCAGCCAAGUCGCGUGAGGGAUGACGGUCCUACGGAUUGUAAACCUCUUUUGCCGGGGAGCAAGCGUGCGUUCGUGAACGCGCGUCGAGAGUACCCGGAGAAAAAGCAUCGGCUAACUCCGUGCCAGCAGCCGCGGUAAUACGGAGGAUGCGAGCGUUAUCCGGAUUUAUUGGGUUUAAAGGGUGCGUAGGCGGGAUGCCAAGUCAGCGGUAAAAAUGCGGUGCUCAACGCCGUCGAGCCGUUGAAACUGGCGUUCUUGAGUGGGCGAGAAGUAUGCGGAAUGCGUGGUGUAGCGGUGAAAUGCAUAGAUAUCACGCAGAACUCCGAUUGCGAAGGCAGCAUACCGGCGCCCUACUGACGCUGAGGCACGAAAGCGUGGGUAUCGAACAGGAUUAGAUACCCUGGUAGUCCACGCAGUAAACGAUGAAUGCUAACUGUCCG
Molecule: ribosomal RNA, 708 nt
Filed under: uncultured bacterium
Lineage: Bacteria
Description: bacterial SSU rRNA
Rfam family: Bacterial small subunit ribosomal RNA
Source: RNAcentral